This 255-nucleotide ribosomal RNA is filed under the name uncultured bacterium. RNAcentral describes it as "partial 16S ribosomal RNA". It matches the Rfam family "Bacterial small subunit ribosomal RNA", at positions 96 to 353 of the family's 1533-position model. The record is from RNAcentral.
UGGCGGACGGGUGAGUAAUGUCUGGGAAACUGCCUGAUGGAGGGGGAUAACUACUGGAAACGGUAGCUAAUACCGCAUAACGUCGCAAGACCAAAGAGGGGGACCUUCGGGCCUCUUGCCAUCGGAUGUGCCCAGAUGGGAUUAGCUAGUAGGUGGGGUAACGGCUCACCUAGGCGACGAUCCCUAGCUGGUCUGAGAGGAUGACCAGCCACACUGGAACUGAGACACGGUCAGACUCCUACGGGAGGCAGCAUG